This 497-nucleotide ribosomal RNA is filed under the name uncultured bacterium. RNAcentral describes it as "partial 16S ribosomal RNA". It matches the Rfam family "Bacterial small subunit ribosomal RNA", at positions 28 to 507 of the family's 1533-position model. The record is from RNAcentral.
GAUGAACGCUGGCGGCGUGCCUAAUACAUGCAAGUCGAGCGAACAGACGAGGAGCUUGCUCCUCUGACGUUAGCGGCGGACGGGUGAGUAACACGUGGAUAACCUACCUAUAAGACUGGGAUAACUUCGGGAAACCGGAGCUAAUACCGGAUAAUAUAUUGAACCGCAUGGUUCAAUAGUGAAAGACGGUUUUGCUGUCACUUAUAGAUGGAUCCGCGCCGCAUUAGCUAGUUGGUAAGGUAACGGCUUACCAAGGCAACGAUGCGUAGCCGACCUGAGAGGUGGAUCGGCCACACUGGAACUGAGAAACGGUCCAGACUCCUACGGGAGGCAGCAUUAGGGAAUCUUCCGCAAUGGGCGAAAGCUUGACGGAGCAACGCCGCGUGGGUGAGGAAGGUCUUCGGAUCUUAAAACUCUGUAAUGAGGGAAGAACAAAUGUGUAAGUAACUAUGCACGUCUGGACGGUACCUAAUCAGAAAGCCACGGCUAACUACGUG